Molecule: long non-coding RNA, 733 nt
Filed under: Haliotis rufescens (red abalone)
Lineage: Eukaryota; Metazoa; Mollusca; Gastropoda; Lepetellida; Haliotidae
Description: uncharacterized LOC124134445, transcript variant X1
Source: RNAcentral
CCCGAUCCAGGAAAUAUUACCUACUACUAGCACAGAGUUGUUAGCAACUAUGACCUGCUACUAAUACUGAGAUGGAGAACGUCAACGUGCCUGCUGACCCUGCACAUGACGCAUGGUAUCCAAGUGGGCUGUGUCCUGCCACAUUCAGGAAAUUUGAGGUGCAACCCUUGUAGGAAAUCAGGUUUCACUGUCCAGUUACAAGAAGCCUGGUGUAAAUAGCUUGUUUGGUCCAGUUGCACCCAACAAAGGGCAACUACCAUGCUGUAAUGAAACUUGAUGGUAUCAGUUUACACCAACGCUAAACUACAUAUACAGCUCCCAAUACAGUGUGCUUUGAGAAGGGAGAGCAACUAUGCCCUGUACGUUUCUGGAAAGAAGAAGUGUUGAGAAGAGUUCUGUGUUGAAGUCAGCAUUGGCAUCCUGAGUAGUGAAAAGAUCAGCAGGGAGUAGCAUCAGUUCGCUACUGUGUGGAGGGACAGUGUUUCUCCCUAUACUCAUGGACAGUACUGUACAUCUAAACACAUGAUUCAUAUUAUAUAUUGUUUCAUAAUGUGAGGUGUGUUUUUUUCAUUCAAAAUAUCAAUUAUCAUAUAUGGUGAAUUUAGCAUCUUACAAAUAUACUGUGCAUGGAAUUUCUUCACUUACACUGUUUUCAGCAUUUUGAGGCAAAACUCUUUUCAUGUGUUACAUUUAUGUUUAUUGUUUCCUCAACAAUAAAGAACUAGCAAAAUGA